Molecule: transfer RNA, 76 nt
Filed under: Desulfotruncus arcticus DSM 17038
Lineage: Bacteria; Bacillati; Bacillota; Clostridia; Eubacteriales; Desulfallaceae
Description: tRNA_Trp_CCA
Rfam family: tRNA
About the family: Transfer RNA (tRNA) molecules are approximately 80 nucleotides in length. Their secondary structure includes four short double-helical elements and three loops (D, anti-codon, and T loops).
Source: RNAcentral
AGGGGAGUAGCUCAAUUGGUAGAGCGUCGGUCUCCAAAACCGAAUGCUGCGGGUUCAAGUCCUGUCUCCCCUGCCA